AUACGGAGGAUCCAAGCGUUAUCCGGAUUUAUUGGGUUUAAAGGGUGCGCAGGCGGCCAUUUAAGUCAGCGGUUAAAUCGUGGGGCUCAACCGCAUUCUGCCGUCGAUACUGGGUGGCUUGAUUGGGGUCGGCGGUGGCGGGAUUCGUAUGGUAGCGGUUAAAUGGAUAAAUUUGAGGAAGAACAUCGAUUGCGGAGGCAGCUGAUCAGAAAGAAAAUGAGGCUCAUGCACGAAAGUGCGGAGAUCGAGCAGGAUUAGAUACCCUGGUAGUCCGCAAAGUAAACGAUGAAUACUUGUUUUCGGUGAUAUAAUGUCGGAGGCAAAGCGAAAGCGAUAAGUAUUCCACCUGGGGAGUACGCCGGCAAGGGUGAAACUCAAAGGAAUUGACGGGG
This 392-nucleotide ribosomal RNA is filed under the name uncultured bacterium. RNAcentral's name for it is "partial 16S ribosomal RNA". It matches the Rfam family "Bacterial small subunit ribosomal RNA", at positions 523 to 918 of the family's 1533-position model. The record is from RNAcentral.